GAUGAACGCUGGCGGCGUGCCUAAUACAUGCAAGUCGAGCGAACGGACGAGAAGCUUGCUUCUCUGAUGUUAGCGGCGGACGGGUGAGUAACACGUGGAUAACCUACCUAUAAGACUGGGAUAACUUCGGGAAACCGGAGCUAAUACCGGAUGAUAUUUUGAACCGCAUGGUUCAAAAGUGAAAGACGGUCUUGCUGUCACUUAUAGAUGGAUCCGCGCUGCAUUAGCUAGUUGGUAAGGUAACGGCUUACCAAGGCAACGAUGCAUAGCCGACCUGAGAGGGUGAUCGGCCACACUGGAACUGAGACACGGUCCAGACUCCUACGGGAGGCAGCAGUAGGGAAUCUUCCGCAAUGGGCGAAAGCCGGACGGAGCAACGCCGCGUGAGGGAUGAAGGUCUUCGGAUCGUAAAACUCUGUUAUUAGGGAAGAACAUAUGUGUAAGUAACUGUGCACAUCUUGACGGUACCUAAUCAGAAAGCCACGGCUAACUACG
RNAcentral lists this ribosomal RNA (495 nucleotides) under uncultured bacterium. Its description in RNAcentral is "partial 16S ribosomal RNA". It matches the Rfam family "Bacterial small subunit ribosomal RNA", at positions 28 to 505 of the family's 1533-position model. The record is from RNAcentral.